RNAcentral lists this long non-coding RNA (710 nucleotides) under Vitis vinifera (wine grape). RNAcentral describes it as "long non-coding RNA (VVIN_LNC000921)". The record is from RNAcentral. Lineage: Eukaryota; Viridiplantae; Streptophyta; Magnoliopsida; Vitales; Vitaceae.
UGAACCGUGGAAUCGAAUCCUCCGGCCCUAAUGCUGGAUCCCAGACCUUUUCAGUGAGGGUCCGACGGAGGCUGCCGGACUUUGUCCAAUCUGUGAAUCUUAAGUAUGUGAAAUUGGGGUAUCAUUAUCUCAUCAACCAUGCCAUCUACUUGGCCACCAUCCCUGUCCUGGUGCUUGUCUUCAGCGCUGAGGUUGGGAGUCUCAACAAGGAGGAGCUCUGGAAGAAGCUCUGGGAGGACGCCCGCUACGACCUCGCCACUGUCCUCGGUUUCUUCGGCGUCUUCGUCUUCACCCUCUCCGUUUACAUCAUGUCCCGCCCCCGCUCCAUCUACCUCAUUGACUUCGCAUGCUUCAAACCCCACGACGAUCUCAAGGUAAAUUCUAUUUUUAUUUCGUCCAUUACUAUCAUCUAUGAAUAAAUAUUCAUCACUGAUCUUCGUUUUAUGCAGUUGUCGAAGCAGCAGCUGAUCGAAGCGGUUAGAAGAUCUGGAAAGCACGACGAGGCGAGCAUAGAGUUUCAGAAGAGAAUUCUAAUGUCAUCAGGCAUAGGAGACGAGACGUACAUCCCAAAGGCGGUGAUGGCCGGAGAGAACUGCGCGACGAUGAAAGAAGGACGAGCAGAGGCCGGGAUGGUGAUGUUCGGGGCGCUGGACGAGCUCUUCGAGAAAACCAGAGUCCGGCCGAAGGACGUGGGGGUGCUGGUGGUGAAC